Molecule: ribosomal RNA, 2816 nt
Filed under: human metagenome
Description: bacterial LSU rRNA
Rfam family: Bacterial large subunit ribosomal RNA
Source: RNAcentral
AGUGCAUCAGGUGGAUGCCUUGGCGAUGAUAGGCGACGAAGGACGUGUAAGCCUGCGAAAAGCAUCGGAGAGCUGGCAAUAAAGCAAUGACCCGGUGAUGUCCGAAUGGGGAAACCCACUUAGUUUACUAAGUAUCCUUGUCUGAAUACAUAGGACAAGAGAAGCGAACCCGGAGAACUGAACCAUCUAAGUACCCGGAGGAAAAGAAAUCAACCGAGAUUCCGCAAGUAGUGGCGAGCGAACGCGGAGGAGCCUGUAUAAGAUAGCCAAACUGUUAGAAGAAGGAAUUGGAAACUUCUGCCAUAGUGGGUGAUAGCCCCGUAUUCGAAAACAGAUUGGUGGUACUAGGUAUACGACAAGUAGGGCGGGACACGAGAAAUCCUGUCUGAAGAUGGGGGGACCAUCCUCCAAGGCUAAAUACUCAUCAUCGACCGAUAGUGAACCAGUACCGUGAGGGAAAGGCGAAAAGAACCCCGGGAGGGGAGUGAAAUAGAACCUGAAACCUGAUGCAUACAUACAGUGGGAGCGGAAUAAUUCCGUGACUGCGUACCUUUUGUAUAAUGGGUCAACGACUUACAUUCAGUAGCGAGCUUAACCGGAUAGGGGAGGCGUAGGGAAACCGAGUCUUAAUAGGGCGACAUAGUUGCUGGGUGUAGACCCGAAACCGAGUGAUCUAUCCAUGGCCAGGAUGAAGGUGCCGUAACAGGUACUGGAGGUCCGAACCCACGCAUGUUGCAAAAUGCGGGGAUGAGCUGUGGAUAGGGGUGAAAGGCUAAACAAACUCGGAGAUAGCUGGUUCUCCCCGAAAACUAUUUAGGUAGUGCCUCGAGUAUGAGACUGAUGGGGGUAAAGCACUGUUAUGGCUAGGGGGUUAUUGCAACUUACCAACCCAUGGCAAACUAAGAAUACCAUCAAGUUGCUCCUCGGGAGACAGACAUCGGGUGCUAACGUCCGGUGUCAAGAGGGAAACAACCCAGACCGCCAGCUAAGGUCCCAAAUGACAGAUUAAGUGGUAAACGAAGUGGGAAGGCACAGACAGCCAGGAUGUUGGCUUAGAAGCAGCCAUCAUUUAAAGAAAGCGUAAUAGCUCACUGGUCGAGUCUUCCUGCGCGGAAGAUGUAACGGGGCUCAAAUCUGUAACCGAAGCUGCGGAUGCACUUUUAGUGCAUGGUAGGGGAGCGUUCUGUAGGCCUGAGAAGGUGUAUCGUAAGGUAUGCUGGAGGUAUCAGAAGUGCGAAUGUUGACAUGAGUAGCGAUAAAGCGGGUGAAAAGCCCGCUCGCCGAAAGCCCAAGGUUUCCUACGCAACGUUCAUCGGCGUAGGGUGAGUCGGCCCCUAAGGCGAGGCAGAGAUGCGUAGUCGAUGGGAAACGGGUUAAUAUUCCCGUACUUGAUUCAAAUGCGAUGUGGGGACGGAGAAGGUUAUGCUGGCAAUCUGUUGGAAUAGAUUGUUUAAGCCGGUAGGUAGAAGGAGUAGGCAAAUCCGCUUCUUUAAUACCGAGACGUGAUGACGAGUGUCUACGGACAUGAAGCAGCAAAUACCACGCUUCCAGGAAAAGCCACUAAGCUUCAGUUUGAAUUAAACCGUACCGCAAACCGACACAGGUGGGCAGGAUGAGAAUUCUAAGGCGCUUGAGAGAACUCGGGAGAAGGAACUCGGCAAAUUGAUACCGUAACUUCGGGAGAAGGUAUGCCCUCUAAUGUAAAGGACUUGCUCCGGAAGCAUCUGAGGGUCGCAGAGAAUCGGUGGCUGCGACUGUUUAUUAAAAACACAGCACUCUGCAAACACGAAAGUGGACGUAUAGGGUGUGAUGCCUGCCCGGUGCUGGAAGGUUAAUUGAUGGUGUAAUCGAAAGAGAAGCUCCUGAUCGAAGCCCCAGUAAACGGCGGCCGUAACUAUAACGGUCCUAAGGUAGCGAAAUUCCUUGUCGGGUAAGUUCCGACCCGCACGAAUGGCGUAACGAUGGCCACACUGUCUCCUCCCGAGACUCAGCGAAGUUGAAAUGGUUGUGAAGAUGCAAUCUCCCCGCUGCUAGACGGAAAGACCCCGUGAACCUUUACUGUAGCUUUGCAUUGGACUUUGAAGUCACUUGUGUAGGAUAGGUGGGAGGCUUAGAAGCAGAAACGCCAGUUUCUGUGGAGCCGUCCUUGAAAUACCACCCUGGUGGCUUUGAGGUUCUAACCCAGACCCGUAAUCCGGGUCGGGGACCGUGCAUGGUAGGCAGUUUGACUGGGGCGGUCUCCUCCCAAAGAGUAACGGAGGAGUUCGAAGGUUACCUAGGUCCGGUCGGAAAUCGGACUGAUAGUGCAAUGGCAAAAGGUAGCUUAACUGCGAGACCGACAAGUCGAGCAGGUGCGAAAGCAGGACAUAGUGAUCCGGUGGUUCUGAAUGGAAGGGCCAUCGCUCAACGGAUAAAAGGUACUCCGGGGAUAACAGGCUGAUUCCGCCCAAGAGUCCAUAUCGACGGCGGAGUUUGGCACCUCGAUGUCGGCUCAUCACAUCCUGGGGCUGUAGUCGGUCCCAAGGGUAUGGCUGUUCGCCAUUUAAAGUGGUACGUGAGCUGGGUUUAAAACGUCGUGAGACAGUUUGGUCCCUAUCUGCAGUGGGCGUUGGAAGUUUGACGGGGGCUGCUCCUAGUACGAGAGGACCGGAGUGGACGAACCUCUGGUGUACCGGUUGUGACGCCAGUCGCAUCGCCGGGUAGCUAAGUUCGGAAGAGAUAAGCGCUGAAAGCAUCUAAGCGCGAAACUCGCCUGAAGAUGAGACUUCCCUGAGGAUUUAAUCCUCCUAAAGAGUCGUUCGAGACCAGGACGUUGA